Long non-coding RNA from Pongo pygmaeus (Bornean orangutan), 2674 nucleotides. RefSeq lists it as uncharacterized. The record is from RefSeq and is a predicted model, not a curated record. Lineage: Eukaryota; Metazoa; Chordata; Mammalia; Primates; Hominidae. The transcript has 3 exons.
GAGGAAUGCUUGUUGGUGUUGAGACAGGGUCUCACUUUGUCACCCAGGCUGCAACGCAGUGGCAGGAACACGGCUCAGGCUGACUGCCGCCACUACCUCCGAAGCUCAAGCAGUCCUCUUGCCUCACUAUCUCAACUCUCGGGGACUACAGAGAUGGUGUUUCACCACGUUGCCCAGGCUGGUCUGGAACUCCUGACCCUAAGUGAUCUGCCCACCUCGGCCUCCCAAAGUGCUGGGAUUACAGAGUCUCGUUCUGUCACCCAGGCUGGAGUGCAGUGGCAUGAUCUCAGCUUACUGCAACCUCUGCCUCCUGGGUUCAAGCAAUUCUCCUGCCUCAGCCUCCCGAGUAGCUGGGACUACAGGCAUGUGCCACCACGCCCGGCUAAUUUUUGUAUUUUUAGUGUAGACAGGGUUUCACCCUCUUGGCCAAGUUGGUCUUGAACUCCUGUCCUCAUGAUCUACCUGCCUUGACCUCCCAAAGUGCUGGGAUUACAGGCGUGAGCCACGACGCCCGGCCAAUCUUAUAUUUUUAAGUAUAGUAAUUGCAGUUUUAGGAUAUUUUCUUCCGGUCCCUUCAUUAUCUGUUACUCUCUGGGCUCCUCCUCUUUUGGCUUCUUUUAUGUUGGAGGCUGCCUUCAAUUCUCAGAUGAUCCUUGGCUGUCUGUCCCCACUUAAGAGAGAGCUGCCUGGAAACUCCAUGGGUGGGGUGAGCAGAGAGUCAUAUGUGGGCCUCCCUGGGAGUAAGGAGGGAGGGAGCAGCUUUUGAGUUCCUGUUGGCUUCUUCUCCUGAGUCAGUCAUUAUCUCCAAAAAGGAAUUUUCCAAUCUUCCUUCCCCUGCUUUCAGAGGACCAAGGACUUUUCUGUUUUUGAGCCUUCUUGGGAUCUAAGACUGAUUAUUUUGUUCUUUGUUGGCUCUUCACUCCCUACGUUAUGAGUAGAAUGGAAAAAUCCCAAACUUAAGUCAGUUAUCCUGCACAUCUGGCUUUCCAUGUAUCAAACUAAAUCAGUCUCUCAUUUGCUGUAGUCUUUGUCCUUGUGCUUUUUCAUGUCUUAUUUUUUAUUUAUUUAUUUUUAUUUUUAUUUUUUUUGAGACGGAGUCUCGCUCUGUCACCCAGGCUGGAGUGCAGUAGCGCGAUCUCGGUUCACUGCGAGCUCCGCCUCCCGGGUUCACGCUAUUCUCCUGCCUCAGCCUCCUGAGUAGCUGGGACUACAGGCGCCUGCCACCAUGCCCAGCUAAUGUUUUGUAUUUUUAGUAGAGACAGGGCUUCACCGUGUUAGCCAGGAUGGUGUCGAUCUCCUGACCUCAUGAUCCGCCCGCCUUGGCCUCCCAAAGUGCUGGGAUUACAGGCGUGAGCCACUGCACCCGGCUAUUUUUUAUUUUUCAGACAGGGUCUCACUUUGUUGCCCAGGCUGCAGCACAGUUGCGCCAUCAUGGCUCACUGCAGCCUUGGCCUCCCAGGCUCAGGUGAUCCUCCUACCUUAGCCUCCCCAGUAGCUGGGACUACAGGCACGUGCCACCAUGCCUGGCCUUUUUCACUUCUUUACUCUUAUUUUGAUGUGAUUUCUAGGGUGAGCAGAGAUAAGCUUAAUUCACCACAUAUAACCAGAAGCUCUUUACUUCUUUAAGUUCAAUUACCUAAUUCCUCUAACUCACAAGGUGGUUGUGAAAAUUAAAGGUGGCGGGCAACCUGCUUGGGUCCCCUUCCACACUGUUGAAGCUUUGUUCUUUUGCUCUUUGCAAUAAAUCUUGCUGCUGCUCACUCUUUGGGUCCACACUGCCUUUAUGAGGUGUAACACUCACCGCGAAGGUCUGCAACUUCACUCCUGAAGCCAGAGAGACCACGAACCCACUGGGAGGAACGAACAACUCCAGACGCGCCGCCUUAAGAGCUGUAACACUCACCGCGAAGGUCCGCAGCUUCACUCCUGAGCCAGCGAGACCACGAACCCACCAGAAGGAAGAAACUCCGAACACAUCCGAACAUCAGAAGGAACAAACUCCGGACACGCCGCCUUUAAGAACUGUAACAGUCAUCGCGAGGGUCUGCGGCUUCAUUCUUGAAAUCAGUGAGACCAAGAACCCACCAAUUCCGGACACAAUGCCAUUCUCCUGCCUCAGCCUCCCGAGUAGCUGGGACUACAGGCGGCUGCCACCACGCCUGGCUAAUUUUUUGUAUUUUUAGUAGAGAUGGGGUUUCACUGUGUUAGCCAGGAUGAUCUCGAUCUCCUGACCUCGUGAUCCGCCCGCCUCGGCCUCCCAAAGUGCUGGGAUUACAGGCGUGAGCCACUGCGCCUGGCCCAGUUUAGCUUUUUAACAGCUUAGUUCUUUCAUCUUUGUUUGAAUACAAAGGCCAAGGAAAAUAGUCUACAUGUUAUUUUCAGGAAAAUUUUCUGUAUAAAUUAUUGUUAUUGAAGCAUUAAUUUUCUAUUUCAUGAUCAGGCUGCAUGCCUUGGAAAGGAUGUAGUAUAUGAUGAAAUUGCCCAAUCAUUUGAAUGAUAAUAAAAGUUAAAAAAAAAAGAAAAAAGAAAAUUAAAGGUGGCUGUGUGUGUGUAACAAGAUGUUGAAAGGUUUUCCUGGUUGUGUUGGAGUUUGAGCUGAGUCUUAAGGACAGAAGUGUACACAGGUGCCCCCACAUUGUAGAAAAAUACUUUUCCGGCCACGCAAAAGACAGCA